RNAcentral lists this long non-coding RNA (380 nucleotides) under Eutrema salsugineum. Its description in RNAcentral is "long non-coding RNA (ESAL_LNC000805)". Lineage: Eukaryota; Viridiplantae; Streptophyta; Magnoliopsida; Brassicales; Brassicaceae. The record is from RNAcentral.
CCAAGAGAUUGUCCAUCAUCACCACCACCAUCACGACCUCGAAGAAUCCGAACACAAAGACACAGACCCAGAUUCUUAUUUCACCAAUCCUCGACCACUUCAUCGAUGCCGUACAGCUCCGGCGAUGGUAAUCAUCAAAGACCUAACACGCGAAACCCAAGCUGUUACCAAAAAGCCUUCACCAAUCCCUAAAUCGAUUAUCAAACAAGCGAUUUUCCUUCUAAUCGUCUACCUAACCCUAGGCGUCUCAGUGUAUUCGUUCAAUCGAGAUCACUACUCUGGAAUCGAGACUCAUCCCGUCGUCGACGCGCUCUAUUUCUGUAUCGUCACUAUGUGUACAAUCGGUUACGGAGACAUCGCACCGUUGACUCCAUGGACGA